AUGUCUGCCGGUUUAACAUUGUCUGUCGCUUUAACAACACCUGCCGGUUUAACAUUGUGUGCCAGUUUAACAUUGUCUGCCGGUUUAACAACACCUGCCGGUGCUACCAUCUGUCUUAACUCUGCCGGUUUAACACUUGCCGGUUUAUCGUCUGUCUUAGCCAUCUGUCUUAACUGUCUGCCGGUUUACCAUCCGCCGGUUUACCAAGUCCCAGCCGGUUUACGACUCCGGCCGGGCCAUACCCCAGGGUAUAUCCCCGACAUUAGCCCCCAGUUUAAUUUGGAUUUAUCCAUGUUAAACUGA
RNAcentral lists this ribosomal RNA (303 nucleotides) under Triticum aestivum (bread wheat). RNAcentral describes it as "partial small subunit ribosomal RNA". The record is from RNAcentral. Lineage: Eukaryota; Viridiplantae; Streptophyta; Magnoliopsida; Poales; Poaceae.